RNAcentral lists this long non-coding RNA (654 nucleotides) under Homo sapiens (human). RNAcentral's name for it is "long non-coding RNA NONHSAT201090". Lineage: Eukaryota; Metazoa; Chordata; Mammalia; Primates; Hominidae. The record is from RNAcentral.
UGUGCAAUAGAGAAAAAAAUGGAGAUUGGCAUAUAAACACAUAUCAGCAUUUAUCAAGGCCGGUGGAGAAGAGAUAUCUUCUGAUCUAUAAAGCCUAGCCCUGUAUUUGUGAAUGUAAAGAUUCCUGUCUUAUCUAAGAGCAAUACUACCAAAAUGCACAGAUGACAGAAAAAUCAUUUGAAAUAUCCUAUUUCUUUAGUUUAUGGUUCAUUACCAAAACACACUGCUUGAUAGCUUGACCACCUUUGUGAGCUUGUUUUUAAAUUCUACUCAUAAAUACUGUCAGUUAUAUUCUUAGAUCAUAUAUUAAAGUUUUUUUUUGUUUUUUUAGAUGGAGUGUCACUUUGUCCCCCAGGCUGGAGUGCAGUGGGGCGAUCUUGGUCCACUGCAACCUCUGCUCCGGGGAUCAAGUGAUUCUCCUGCUUCAGCCUCCCGAGUAGCUGGGAUUACAGGCAACCGCCACUUCUAGCUGCAUAUUUUUUCCACCUAUAAUUUUUUUGAGACCUUAAUUAUUUCGGUCUACAAUCUGCGUCUAGCAGGACUACACAGACAGCAGUUCUAAAACUUCUUUUAGCUACUUGAGAUAUUAAAUAUUUCACAUAUAUUAACAGUUUUAUAUCCCAGCAAUGGAUUCCAAAGUUGUGGCAUUGCUAC